Molecule: long non-coding RNA, 3564 nt
Filed under: Gossypium barbadense (sea-island cotton)
Lineage: Eukaryota; Viridiplantae; Streptophyta; Magnoliopsida; Malvales; Malvaceae
Description: long non-coding RNA (GBAR_LNC017269)
Source: RNAcentral
AAUUCUCAUAACUUCUGCCCACUGCAGAGCUCUCCUAAGUUCUCCUCUUCUUCAGAACAACCAAAGAAGACAAUACAAGUAAGAAGAAAUUUGUAGACAGAAAUUUGAGGAGGAUUUUCUAUCGCAAGAAUAUCCACUUUCACUUAUAUAUAACUCCUAUACACGGUCUCCCAAUCUCUUUUAGCCAAUCACAGGUAAUCAUUAUGUCUCCAACUAUGGAACCAUCCAGUUCCAUCCUAACCAAACUAGAAUUGAAACUUAACUAUUUACCUAACAAUCACAAAAUUUUCCCAAAAUUCCUAAUAGAGUCCGUCAACUUACUAUGCAUUCAAUUAAGUCCCAAAAUUCCUUUAAAUUAGAGUCUUUAAGGAAAUCCGAGUGUGACAUUUCAGCUGCUAGCGCACAUGGUUCCCGAAAUUCACAUGUCUUGGAGACAUGCCUGUGUGGCUCACAUGGUCGUGUAAAACUUUGUUGCCUAUGUACAGCUUCCAAAUUGCUCCAAUGUUCUGAUUUUCACUCGUUUUUCACUCCUAUUGCUCCCAAGUGCUCUAUUAAGCUUCAAAACAUGAAUUUAAAGGAUUGAGAGUAUAGAUUUCACAAUUAAUGUCACAUAAUCACCAAAAAAUGCAGUAAGAAUGAGGCUAAAAAAUGAUACUUUUGACAUUUAUCACUCCCAUUUUUCGAGCGGUGACCUGACCCAUGGACAAUUCUAAUUAUAAUAAGAGAUAUAACAUUACAUGAUAUUAUAAUGUUUAAUCAUUGAUACACAUAUAUAAAUUAUUAAUAUAGUAGGAGAGCUAACUUUCAAAUGUAUGAAAAGUAUGAGAACUAAGAGCAUAUUUCAAAUAGUUUAAUAAUAAACAAUAAUAUAUAGUAAUAUGUAAUAUACAUUGUACUACUUUUAUAUAUAACUAUUAUUAUAUUAUAGAUUAUAAUAAAAAGGUAUAAUAUUACAUGAUAUUAUAAUGUUUAAUCAUUGAUGCAUAUAUAUAAACUAUCAAUAUAUUAUAUACUAUAUGAUAUUAUAUAACAUUAUUAAUAUAGUAGGAGGGCUAACUUUCAUAUGUCUAAAAAGUAGGACUUAAAACAUAUUUCAACCAAUAUAAUAAAACAUAAUAAUUAAUAUAUAGCGUACUACUAUUAUAUAUAACUAAUAUUAUAUCAUAUAUUAUAAUAAAAGACAUAGUAUUACAUGAUAUUAUAAUGUCUAAUCAUUGAGGCAUAUAUAUAAAAUAUUAAUAUAUUAUAUAUUAUAUGAUAUGAUAUAACAUCAUAUAAUAUAAUAGGAAGGCUAACUUUUAAAUGUAAGAAAAGUAUAGCGACUUGGACGGCAUUUUAACAACAACAACAACAAUAAAUAUAUUAUGUCCUACUUUACUAUUAUAGUAUGUGGUAUAUUAUUAUAUAAUGAAAUAAUAUAUUUUAUAAGUAUUAGUAUUUGUAUAACAUUAUUAUUUUAUAGAUUAUAAUAAAAGGUAUAACAUCAAUAGUUGUGUAUAAUUUAGUAUAUUAAAAUACAUGUUUAUAAUUAUAACUUGCAAUGUAUAAAGUAUUAUAAAAAUUUAAUAUUUUAAUAAAAUAUUAUUUUUAUUAAAUUAAAUGUUGAAUUGAACUUUAACUUUUAUAAAUUGCAUUUGGGUAUUAGGUUUAUUUUACUUUUUAUUUUGGACUUGAGAUUUCAACUAUAAUUAGUUUAUUUUGAGUUUGGGUAAUAAUGAGUGUAUUAUUUAGGUUUGAGCUUAGUAUAAUAUACAUGAUUUUUUGAAUAAAUAUUUUAGAAUAUAAGCAUCAGGUUUAUAAAUUUAAUAAGAAAGAUUAAAAUUUAUUUAAUUGUAAAUAUAAUAUAAGAAUGAACAAUAAAAGAUAUUUUCGUUAAUUCAUAUAAUAUUAUCGAAUAAUAAAUUUUACAUACAAUAAGCACUUUAAUUAUUUUAUAUAAAAUAACUUUGUUAAAUAUAUAUAUAAUUUAUAUUUUUUAUAAGAUAAAUUUGAAUUGCGUUGUUAUUGUAUAAAAAUAAAAUGAAUUAUUAGUGUAAAACCUCAAUCCCUAACUGGCAAAUUUAGGCAUUACACUGAAAGCAAGCUUAAACUUGAUUCGUUAUUUUUUAGUGGUUUUGACGUAUACUCUCUGAACUGGGGUGUUAACCUAAAAUUUUGAAUGACAAAACAAUCAAAUCAGUGAUGUACCAUGUAAUAUAAAACAUAAUUUAAAACGAACUUUCGACGGAAGCCUUAUAAAUGUUGACAAUUUUACUCAAAACACAAAAGUAGCUUUUUCAUAUAUAAAAGUUUCUAUUUCAUCACUAGCACUCAAACAUCAUCCAAAACAGUUUGGCAUAUACGUGUAAAGAUGGUCUCAUAAAAUUUUACUCAUUUAUAGGUGACAAUUCUCAUAAAACAUAGAUAGAGCGAAAGAUGUAAAUUAUUACAAAAGUUGGUUAUGAAACAGAACUACAUGCCACCUGCCCAAAAUGAAAGUUGGUAGUUGUCGUUACGUCCACCGAAUUUAAUCCCCUACUCAACCAAUAUUAACUGGUAAUAUAGAGUAAGUACAGAAUCGUCCCUCGAAGAAGCUCGUGUUAAACCUAUUUGAAAAGAAUUGAAAUCAAGUUAAUAUAAACAUAUGCGAGAAAGGAAAAAUGGGGGGGGGUCUCUAAUAAUGCUCUUUGGUAACAAAUAAAAUGUAGCAUAAAUUGUAAAUGCAGAAAGGUUGUCGAAUUAAGAGAAAGAGUGCUCAGUUAGUAACUCCUUAAUCCACCUAGCACAAGUCCUUAGCGUGAUUUAAUUAUUUUAAUUGUCUAAUCUAGCAACAAGGCUAAAGAAAAUCACUUACGAAAUGAAUUCUUAUCCCAAAUAAAUUCGAAUUCAAAUAGAGAACAUUCAUACUUGAAUACCUACCUUUAAUUUUUAAUUAAAAGUGCACUAAGUAUUUUAGAGAUUUCACCUUGUGUUAAUUAAAGAAAAUCCUCCAGCGGCUUCCAAAAUUAAAUCCGAAAUUGCGUUAAUUAGUGGCAUGCUAAUUUAUUAUCACUGAUUCUAAGUUUAAUUAAGAAAUUCGAUAACUCAAUUAUACUUAGAUGAUUAUGAGAAAAGUCCUAAAUUAGAUAGGCGAUCAAUCUAAUUAAUUUAGAAAAUUUCUUUGAACGAUAGAAUUAGCAACUCAAGAAUGCUAAAUCCGAAUUUAAACAAAAUAAACCUUCAAAUUCCUUGUGCUAAGUUUCAUAAGUGUCUAACUGAGCUUAAUCAAUUUAGCCACUCAUAGAAAUCGAACGAAACAGAAAUCAAUUGUAAACAACAUAAAUUACAGACUGAAUCUUGGAGAAGAAAAUGCCUAAAAUUGUCGAGCUUCCCUUCUCUCGAUUAGCUGAAAUCUUAGACUGCUGUUACGCUGCUUGAUCGGUUUUGGCUAGUUCAAUUUGAGCUUCUUCUUCGCUUGAAUGCUACGCUCCUAUUCUGCCGUCUCUUCCUCUAUUUUUUUCUUCUUCGUUUUCAACUGCUGGUUACUUCUAUUUAAGGAGUAAUGAUAUUAACCUUCAAUAAUUCAAAUAAAAUUUGAUCUUAUCC